CGAGCCUUCACCCUAUCGAGGGGUUCGUAACAUAAAUGGGGGCUCGUCCGGGAUCCUGUGUCCGGAUAGUAGCUAAGGAAUUCGAGUGAUCUAAUUUAAUUCGGGUGAUCCACGUUCUCUGGUUAGACAGAGUAAGCCAGCGGGGCUGUGCUUAGCGCCAGUCCUGACAACGGUUUACUGUUUAUUAUUUUGCCUUUCUUAUUUUAGUUUGUUAUUUUUGGAGGUACUCCGGGGGAGAGAGCGAUCUCUUAAUCGGUACCCUCUGAAGACUAGAGAGGAAAAGUUAGCUUUAUGGGUUAGAAUCAACAGGGAGUCGCUCAGAUGCACGUCUAAAACUACGUUUAGCACGGCUGCAGUUGGAGACCCAGGACCGAGCUCAGGCAAGGGAAGCAGGUGGGAAAUGGUCAAGUGCGACCACGGGACGGAAAGGUGGCUGCUGUGCUCAAUUACCCAACACCUACUACGAGGAGAGAACUACUGCACCGGUGCUGUCCGCCCCCGACCUGACUCGUCCGUUCCAGCUGGAGGUGGACGCCAGCGCGGUUGGAGUGGGAGCUGUCCUUCUGCAGGAGGGUGCUGACAACCUAGGCCACCCUGUAUCAUACUUCUCAGCUAAGUUCAACAGUCAUCAGUUGAAUUAUUCAACCAUUGAAAAAGAGACCUUAGCUCUGUUGCUAGCGUUACAACAGUUUAACGUCUACGUGGGGGCUAGUGCGUCUCCUGUCGUUGUUUAUACAGAUCAUAAUCCACUUGUUUUUCUGAGCAAAAUGUAUAACCAAAAUCAACGACUCAUGCGUUGGGCCUUAAUGGUUCAGCCGUACAAUCUUGAGAUCCGUCAUAAAAGAGGCUCUGACAACGUAGUUGCAGAUGCAUUGUCUCGCGGAUUAAUUUAGGAACAGGUUUUUCUGUAUGAAUCCAUGCAGAAUCAGUUUUUCUUUUUCCCUCUAAGGAAGGAGGAAAAGAGGAAGGAAAAAAAAUGAUUCUUCCUCUAGGGGGGGAAGUGUUACGGCCACAGCCUUCUGAGUUUGUUACUUUUGUAAUUAUUAAUUGGUUUGGCCUUUCUGAGUGCAGGCUCUGCCCCUGCGCACCUGAGAGCGGUUGCGGUGAUGGCUCAGGCUGAGCAUAUAGAGGGGAGAGCGACUGAGCGCCGGGAAAGGAGGAGACCUGCGAGAGCGCCAGGCCCGGCUGCAACACCAGGAGACCAGUGUUUUGUGUUCGAGCGACUAUUGUGUUAUGUUAAGGUGUAAAACGGAGAGGCUGGAGGUUGGAAAACUAUAAAAGAUCUUUGCAUCGCUUCCUGCCUAUCGCGUUUUCUUUAUGUUGCUGACCCCUUGGCUGAACGAGCCUUCACCCUAUCGAGGGG
Molecule: long non-coding RNA, 1363 nt
Organism: Gasterosteus aculeatus aculeatus (three-spined stickleback)
Lineage: Eukaryota; Metazoa; Chordata; Actinopteri; Perciformes; Gasterosteidae
Source: Ensembl